AGGACGAACGCUGGCGGCGUGCCUAGUACAUGCAAGUCGAACGGCUUUUCUAUGGAAGCUUGCUUCCACUGAGAAGAUAGUGGCGAACGGGUGAGUAACACGUGGGUAACCUGCCCAUAAGAGGGGGGAUAACAUCCGGAAACGGGUGCUAAUACCGCAUAGUUUUCUUGAUCGCAUGAUCGGGAAAGGAAAGACGGCCUUUGUGCUGUCGCUUAUGGAUGGACCCGCGGCGUAUUAGUUAGUUGGUGAGGUAACGGCUCACCAAGACGAUGAUACGUAGCCGACCUGAGAGGGUGAUCGGCCACAUUGGGACUGAGACACGGCCCAAACUCCUACGGGAGGCAGCAGUAGGGAAUCUUCCGCAAUGGACGAAAGUCUGACGGAGCAACGCCGCGUGAGUGAAGAAAAGGUUUUCGGAUCGUAAAACUCUGUUGUCAGAGAAGAACAAGUUGGAGAGUAACUGCUCCAGCCUUGACGGUAUCUGACCAGAAAGCCACGGCUAACUACGUGCCAGCAGCGGC
This 521-nucleotide ribosomal RNA is filed under the name uncultured bacterium. RNAcentral describes it as "bacterial SSU rRNA". It matches the Rfam family "Bacterial small subunit ribosomal RNA", at positions 26 to 518 of the family's 1533-position model. The record is from RNAcentral.